AUGUGGGUGGCUGAGAAGGGCACUAGGGUGGGGGUGGCUGGAGGAAUUUUAAGUGCUGUGAUGAAAUGGGCACCCUUCUCUGCCCUCCAUCGCCAAGCCCUACACCUCUGCGAAGACUGUGACACACAAAGUCCUGUGUCAACGGUCUGUGCCCGCAGAGAGAGCCUGCUCCAGCCUCUUUGCUACAGCCUUGAGUCUUCUGCUGUAAGUUUUCAUUCUUUACCUUUUUUUUUUAAUGAAAAACUUAUGGUUAAUUAUUGUAGUGCAUUUGGGUUUGUGUGUGCAUGCAUAUGAAUGUGUAUCAUGUUCUCCAGGGGUUUCCUGGAAAACCCUUUAAAGCCUCUGUCUAUCUCAGACAGGACAAGAGGAAGAGGAGGGCUCGGACGCUGUGGCACAGAGGGCUGGUUUCCUCCCAAUGUACAUUUCCCUUGCUUCCAUGUCAUACACGUGUUUAUCUGUGCUCGUGGCUGCCCUGAAUAAGAACUGUAUUUCCAGCUUUCUGGAAGCCAGGUGUGGUCAUGUGACUAAGUUGUAGCCAAUAGCCUGUGGGGAGUAGUGAGGUGUGCAACAACUGGCCAGAGCUGUUAAAGGGAAACGCUGUGUUCUUCCUUCUGUGUUCCCCCUUCCUUGGCUGGAAUUGCCUGUGGCAGUGCUCUACUUUUCCUUUUUCUUUUCCUUUUGGUUUUUGUCUCACUCUGUUGCCCAGGCUAGGGUGCAGUGGUGCAAUCUCAGUUCACUGCAACCUCUGCCUCCUGGGCUCAAGCCAUCUUUCCAUCUCAGCCUCCAGAGUGGCUGGAACUACAGCUGCAUGCCACCAUGCCAAGCUAAUAUUAUUAAAUUUUAAAAUAUUUAUUAUUUUGAGAUGGAGUCUCACUCUGUUGCCCAGGCUGGAGUGCAGUGGCACGAUCUUGGCUCACUGCAACCUCUGCCUCCUGGGUUCAAGCGAUUCUUCUGCUUCAGCCUCCUGAGUAGCUGGGAUUACAGACAUGUACCUCCAUACCCAGAUA
Molecule: long non-coding RNA, 1007 nt
Filed under: Pan paniscus (pygmy chimpanzee)
Lineage: Eukaryota; Metazoa; Chordata; Mammalia; Primates; Hominidae
Description: lncRNA (ENSPPAG00000044725.1)
Source: RNAcentral